RNAcentral lists this ribosomal RNA (497 nucleotides) under uncultured bacterium. Its description in RNAcentral is "partial 16S ribosomal RNA". It matches the Rfam family "Bacterial small subunit ribosomal RNA", at positions 28 to 507 of the family's 1533-position model. The record is from RNAcentral.
GACGAACGCUGGCGGCGUGCCUAAUACAUGCAAGUUGAGCGCUGAAGGUUGGUACUUGUACCAACUGGAUGAGCAGCGAACGGGUGAGUAACGCGUGGGGAAUCUGCCUUUGAGCGGGGGACACCAUUUGGAAACGAAUGCUAAUACCGCAUAAAAACUUUAAACACAAGUUUUAAGUUUGAAAGAUGCAAUUGCAUCACUCAAAGAUGAUCCCGCGUUGUAUUAGCUAGUUGGUGAGGUAAAGGCUCACCAAGGCGAUGAUACAUAGCCGACCUGAGAGGGUGAUCGGCCACAUUUGGACUGAGACACGGCCCAUACGCCUGCGGGAGGCAGCAGUAGGGAAUCUUCGGCAAUGGACGAAAGUCUGACCGAGCAACGCCGAGUGAGUGAAGAAGGUUUUCGGAUCGUAAAACUCUGUUGGUAGAGAAGAACGUUGGUGAGAGUGGAAAGCUCAUCAAGUGACGGUAACUACACAGAAAGGGACGGCUAACUACGUG